GCGUGCCUUUUGUAGAAUGAACCGGCGAGUUACGAUUUGAUGCAAGGUUAAGCAGUAAAUGUGGAGCCGUAGCGAAAGCGAGUCUGAAUAGGGCGUUUAGUAUUUGGUCGUAGACCCGAAACCAGGUGAUCUACCCUUGGUCAGGUUGAAGUUCAGGUAACACUGAAUGGAGGACCGAACCGACUUACGUUGAAAAGUGAGCGGAUGAACUGAGGGUAGCGGAGAAAUUCCAAUCGAACCUGGAGAUAGCUGGUUCUCUCCGAAAUAGCUUUAGGGCUAGCCUCAAGUGAUGAUUAUUGGAGGUAGAGCACUGUUUGGACGAGGGGCCCCUCUCGGGUUACCGAAUUCAGACAAACUCCGAAUGCCAAUUAAUUUAACUUGGGAGUCAGAACAUGGGUGAUAAGGUCCGUGUUCGAAAGGGAAACAGCCCAGACCACCAGCUAAGGUCCCAAAAUAUAUGUUAAGUGGAAAAGGAUGUGGCGUUGCCCAGACAACUAGGAUGUUGGCUUAGAAGCAGCCAUCAUUUAAAGAGUGCGUAAUAGCUCACUAGUCGAGUGACACUGCGCCGAAAAUGUACCGGGGCUAAACAUAUUACCGAAGCUGUGGAUUGUCCUUUGGACAAUGGUAGGAGAGCGUUCUAAGGGCGUUGAAGCAUGAUCGUAAGGACAUGUGGAGCGCUUAGAAGUGAGAAUGCCGGUGUGAGUAGCGAAAGACGGGUGAGAAUCCCGUCCACCGAUUGACUAAGGUUUCCAGAGGAAGGCUC
RNAcentral lists this ribosomal RNA (763 nucleotides) under Staphylococcus aureus. Its description in RNAcentral is "partial 23S ribosomal RNA". It matches the Rfam family "Bacterial large subunit ribosomal RNA", at positions 599 to 1367 of the family's 2925-position model. Lineage: Bacteria; Bacillati; Bacillota; Bacilli; Caryophanales; Staphylococcaceae. The record is from RNAcentral.